UGAACUGUGUGUUAAGCGGCGGCUGCAGUAACUUAUACUUCAACAGACCCCUCCAGGCUGGCUGAGAGACACAGAACUACGAGCAACUCUGAAGAAGCUUCAGGGAAGCAGCCACCAAUCAGCUGUUCCUGCUGUGCAAAUUAUUUGGAAUCUCCUGCCAGUGAUCAUUGCUUGUGGAUAAUGAGGUUGAAGAACUGGAGCGGACAACCAUGGCGAUCUUUAUCACUGGGAAAGAGGAUCCUCUCCAUCCACCUAAAGACAUUAAAAUUGUUGUCGAAGGAAAAGAGGUCCUGAACGAGUUGCCAUCGGUUGCUGGGCUCAUAUAUACACUAAACUUAAAAUAUCCAAAAAGGCUACAGUUCACCUUUGAAUUUGUGCAAAAUGUCCUGAUGGAGCUUGAUGGAAUAAAGAUGACCCCAAAAGUCACUAAACUGACCACCCAGCUGUACAGGGAUUAAUUGUAUAAUUGCAUAAUUGUUACAUUUUAUUGUGUUUUUACAGCCAAGACUUUAGAUCCUUUUAAUAAAAAGGUUGUACUAACAAGGCUGCAUUUUCACUGCAGCAUUUACAAAUGUGGCUGCCCAAGUUCGAUGGCUACCAGGUACAAAGGUUGAAUAAGGCUGUCAAUCUUCAUACAUUUGAAGCAAAUGUUCAAUGUUGUAAGUUUAUUGCACAAUAAAUGUGU
Carassius auratus (goldfish) is the source of this 685-nucleotide long non-coding RNA. RefSeq lists it as uncharacterized. Lineage: Eukaryota; Metazoa; Chordata; Actinopteri; Cypriniformes; Cyprinidae. The transcript is spliced from 3 exons. The record is from RefSeq and is a predicted model, not a curated record.